Molecule: ribosomal RNA, 543 nt
Filed under: uncultured bacterium
Lineage: Bacteria
Description: bacterial SSU rRNA
Rfam family: Bacterial small subunit ribosomal RNA
Source: RNAcentral
UGGGGAAUAUUGCACAAUGGGCGAAAGCCUGAUGCAGCGACGCCGCGUGAGGGACGACGGCCUUCGGGUUGUAAACCUCUUUCAGUAGGGAACAAGGCAUCAUUUUUGUGGUGUUGAGGGUACUUGCAGAAGAAGCACCGGCUAACUACGUGCCAGCAGCCGCGGUAAUACGUAGGGUGCAAGCGUUAUCCGGAAUUAUUGGGCGUAAAGAGCUCGUAGGCGGUUUGUCGCGUCUGUCGUGAAAGUCCGGGGCUCAACUCCGGAUCUGCGGUGGGUACGGGCAGACUAGAGUGAUGUAGGGGAGACUGGAAUUCCUGGUGUAGCGGUGGAAUGCGCAGAUAUCAGGAGGAACACCGAUGGCGAAGGCAGGUCUCUGGGCAUUAACUGACGCUGAGGAGCGAAAGCAUGGGGAGCGAACAGGAUUAGAUACCCUGGUAGUCCAUGCCGUAAACGUUGGGCACUAGGUGUGGGGGACAUUCCACGUUUUCCGCGCCGUAGCUAACGCAUUAAGUGCCCCGCCUGGGGAGUACGGCCGCAAGGCUA